AUUGAACGCUGGCGGCAGGCCUAACACAUGCAAGUCGAACGGUAACAGGAAACAGCUUGCUGUUUCGCUGACGAGUGGCGGACGGGUGAGUAAUGUCUGGGAAACUGCCUGAUGGAGGGGGAUAACUACUGGAAACGGUAGCUAAUACCGCAUAACGUCGCAAGACCAAAGAGGGGGACCUUCGGGCCUCUUGCCAUCGGAUGUGCCCAGAUGGGAUUAGCUAGUAGGUGGGGUAACGGCUCACCUAGGCGACGAUCCCUAGCUGGUCUGAGAGGAUGACCAGCCACACUGGAACUGAGACACGGUCCAGACUCCUACGGGAGGCAGCAGUGGGGAAUAUUGCACAAUGGGCGCAAGCCUGAUGCAGCCAUGCCGCGUGUAUGAAGAAGGCCUUCGGGUUGUAAAGUACUUUCAGCGGGGAUGAAGGGAGUAAAGUUAAUACCUUUGCUCAUUGACGUUACCCGCAGAAGAAGCACCGGCUAACUACGUG
RNAcentral lists this ribosomal RNA (490 nucleotides) under uncultured bacterium. RNAcentral's name for it is "partial 16S ribosomal RNA". It matches the Rfam family "Bacterial small subunit ribosomal RNA", at positions 30 to 507 of the family's 1533-position model. The record is from RNAcentral.